AUGAACGCUGGCGGCGUGCCUAAUACCUGCAAGUCGAGCGAACAGACGAGGAGCUUGCUCCUCUGACGUUAGCGGCGGACGGGUGAGUAACACGUGGAUAACCUACCUAUAAGACUGGGAUAACUUCGGGAAACCGGAGCUAAUACCGGAUAAUAUAUUGAACCGCAUGGUUCAAUAGUGAAAGACGGUUUUGCUGUCACUUAUAGAUGGAUCCGCGCCGCAUUAGCUAGUUGGUAAGGUAACGGCUUACCAAGGCAACGAUGCGUAGCCGACCUGAGAGGGUGAUCGGCCACACUGGAACUGAGACACGGUCCAGACUCCUACGGGAGGCAGCAGUAGGGAAUCUUCCGCAAUGGGCGAAAGCCUGACGGAGCAACGCCGCGUGAGUGAUGAAGGUCUUCGGAUCGUAAAACUCUGUUAUUAGGGAAGAACAAAUGUGUAAGUAACUAUGCACGCCUUGACGGUACCUAAUCAGAAAGCCACGGCUAACUACGUG
This 496-nucleotide ribosomal RNA is filed under the name uncultured bacterium. RNAcentral's name for it is "partial 16S ribosomal RNA". It matches the Rfam family "Bacterial small subunit ribosomal RNA", at positions 29 to 507 of the family's 1533-position model. The record is from RNAcentral.